UGCUUGCUCUUCCUGUGAGGUGAAGGCAAGUGUCCCUGCAGAGUCUACUGUGUCUAGAGAUGCUUUUAGAGAGCUGUGGGUUUUCUUCCUCAGGAAAGCUGAGGACACCAUUGAGGGAGGCAGAUCCGUAAGGCCACCAGGAGCCAGAGCUUCCAUGACCCAGGCCCAGCUCUGCUCUUGUAAGGUUGUGGAACUGGUAAAAAUGUUCCAGAGUUGUUCUGGGUAUCUGUUUGGCUUGCUCUUCUCAAUAUCUUGAUCACUUAUGGCAUCUUUAAUAUUCCUAACCUUAUUUGAUCAUAUUUUGUG
Non-coding RNA from Rhinolophus ferrumequinum (greater horseshoe bat), 306 nucleotides. The record is from Rfam. Lineage: Eukaryota; Metazoa; Chordata; Mammalia; Chiroptera; Rhinolophidae.